GAUGAACGCUGGCGGCGUGCCUAAUACAUGCAAGUCGAGCGAACAGACGAGGAGCUUUCUCCUCUGGCGUUAUCGGCGGACGGGUGAGUAACACGUGGACAACCUACCUAUAAGACUGGGAUAAUUUCGGGAAACCGGCGCUAAUACCGGAUAAUAUAUUGAACCGCAUGGUUCAAUAGUUAAAGACGGUUUUGCUGUCACUUAUAGAUGGAUCCGCACCGAACUAGCUAUGUGGUAAGGUAACGGCUUACCAAUGGAACAAUGCGUAGCCGACCUGACAGGGUGACCGACCCCACUGGAACUGAGAAACGGCCCCGACCACGCCGAGAGGCAGCCGUAGGAGCUCUGCGAGGAUGGACGAAAGCCUGACGGGGCAACGCCGCUUGAGUGACGGAGCUCUACGGAACGUGAGACUCAGGUAUUUGGGAAGAACAAAUGUGUACGUAAGUAUGAACGUUAUGACGGUACCUAAUGAGACAGCCACGGCUAACUACGUG
RNAcentral lists this ribosomal RNA (497 nucleotides) under uncultured bacterium. RNAcentral's name for it is "partial 16S ribosomal RNA". It matches the Rfam family "Bacterial small subunit ribosomal RNA", at positions 28 to 507 of the family's 1533-position model. The record is from RNAcentral.